RNAcentral lists this unclassified non-coding RNA (188 nucleotides) under Pigeon pea witches'-broom phytoplasma. The stretch from base 72 to 145 matches the Rfam family "tRNA". RNAcentral also lists the same sequence under 9 other names. Lineage: Bacteria; Bacillati; Mycoplasmatota; Mollicutes; Acholeplasmatales; Acholeplasmataceae. The record is from RNAcentral.
AACCAAUAAAAUCAAUCAUCUUCAGUUUUGAAAGACUUAGGCAACUAAGUUUUUCUUCGUGACUUCACGAAGGGCCUAUAGCUCAGUUGGUUAGAGCACACGCCUGAUAAGCGUGAGGUCGGUGGUUCAAGUCCAUUUAGGCCCACCAGAGUUAUAGGUUUCGUAAGAACACAAAUUCUUUGAAAAUU